This 461-nucleotide ribosomal RNA is filed under the name uncultured beta proteobacterium. RNAcentral describes it as "bacterial SSU rRNA". It matches the Rfam family "Bacterial small subunit ribosomal RNA", at positions 190 to 642 of the family's 1533-position model. The record is from RNAcentral. Lineage: Bacteria; Pseudomonadati; Pseudomonadota; Betaproteobacteria.
AGGAAAGUAGGGGAUCGCAAGACCUUGCGCUUUUGGAGCGGCCGAUGUCUGAUUAGCUAGUCGGUGAGGUAAAGGCUUACCAAGGCUUCGAUCAGUAGCUGGUCUGAGAGGACGACCAGCCACACUGGGACUGAGACACGGCCCAGACUCCUACGGGAGGCAGCAGUGGGGAAUUUUGGACAAUGGGGGCAACCCUGAUCCAGCCAUGCCGCGUGAGUGAAGAAGGCCUUCGGGUUGUAAAGCUCUUUCAGCCGGAACGAAAAGGUUACGGUUAAUACCCGUGACUAAUGACGGUACCGGAAGAAGAAGCACCGGCUAACUACGUGCCAGCAGCCGCGGUAAUACGUAGGGUGCGAGCGUUAAUCGGAAUUACUGGGCGUAAAGCGUGCGCAGGCGGUUUUGUAAGUCAGAUGUGAAAUCCCCGGGCUUAACCUGGGAACUGCGUUUGAAACUACAAAGCU